RNAcentral lists this ribosomal RNA (468 nucleotides) under uncultured bacterium. RNAcentral describes it as "partial 16S ribosomal RNA". It matches the Rfam family "Bacterial small subunit ribosomal RNA", at positions 28 to 507 of the family's 1533-position model. The record is from RNAcentral.
GACGAACGCUGGCGGCGUGCUUAACACAUGCAAGUCGAACGGAAAGGCCCUGCUUUUGUGGGGUGCUCGAGUGGCGAACGGGUGAGUAACACGUGAGUAACCUGCCCUUGACUUUGGGAUAACUUCAGGAAACUGGGGCUAAUACCGGAUAGGAGCUCCUGCUGCAUGGUGGGGGUCGGAAAGUUUCGGCGGUUGGGGAUGGACUCGCGGCUUAUCAGCUUGUUGGUGGGGUAGUGGCUUACCAAGGCUUUGACGGGUAGCCGGCCUGAGAGGGUGACCGGCCACAUUGGGACUGCGAUACGGACCAGACGGCUACGGGAGGCAGCAGUGGGGAAUAUUGCACAAUGGGCGGAAGCCUGAUGCAGCAACGCCGCGUGCGGGAUGACGGCCUUCGGGUUGUAAACCGCUUUCGCCUGUGACGAAGCGUGAGUGACGGUAAUGGGUAAAGAAGCACCGGCUAACUACGUG